UCCAGCCGCGGGGCCGGCGGGUUACGCUGCGCCCCUCGGCGCCCACCCCGGCGGGGGCCCGGGCGGGGUGUGUCCUCCAGGAGCUGCGGGGACCCCUGCGGCCGGACCUUGCGACCCGUUUUCCAAUCCCGCGGUGGCGACGGCGACAGCAACGGUAAUAGUAUCGCCAGGAGAAAACAGAGGCCUCCCCAGCCACACUGGAAGGUACCAGCCAUUGCUGUCGCUCUCGGGGACUGCUACACCAGCCUCCUUCCUGGUGUCCUGUGCCUGCCCCUUCCCACUACCAUCAGCAGCCAGAGGGGUCCUGUUAAAAGCAAGGCACCUACACACCGCCCCCCUACCCCCCCCGCACAGAACCUGCAAUGGCCUCCCCACCAUGCUUAGUCCACAACCCGACCAGAUACCAUCCAGCAAUUCCAUUUCUGGGUCGGCACCCACAAGAAUUGAACGCAGGGACCCAAACAGAUAUUUGCACCCUAAGUUGAUAGCAUCAUUAUUCCGGAGAGCCAAGCAAUGGAAGCCAUCCAAGUGUCUGCCCACUGAUGAAUAAAGCAAAUGUGGCCUCUGCAUACGAUGGAAAAUGACUCAGCCUUAAAAACGAAAGAAAUGUUGACACAGGCUACAAACUCUGAGCCUUGAAGAUGCUGUGCUAAAUGAGAUAAGGCAGUCAAAGAAGGGCCGAUAUGGUGUGAGUUCUCAGAGUAUUCAAAUUCGUGGGGAAAGAGUAGAAUGGUGGUUGGCAGGGGCUGUGGGGAGGGAGAAGUGGGGAGUUCGUGUUUAAUGGAUGUGAACUUGGAGUUCUGCAAGAGGAGAGCACGCUGGGGAUGGACGUGGUAAGAUCUGCCCAACAGUGUGGACGUGCUUCAUGCCACAGAAACGUCCCCUUAAAAAAUGCUUAAGAUGCUUGGGGUCACCUGGGUGGCUCAGUCGGUUGAGCGGCCGACUUCGGCUCAGGUCAUGAUCU
Molecule: long non-coding RNA, 964 nt
Organism: Lynx canadensis (Canada lynx)
Lineage: Eukaryota; Metazoa; Chordata; Mammalia; Carnivora; Felidae
Exons: 3
Source: RefSeq, a predicted model, not a curated record